AUACAGAGGGUGCAAGCGUUAAUCGGAAUUACUGGGCGUAAAGCGCGCGUAGGCGGGCAUUUAAGUCGGAUGUGAAAUCCCCGGGCUCAACCUGGGAAUGGCAUUCGAUACUGCAUAACUAGAGUAUGGUAGAGGGAAGUGGAAUUUCCGGUGUAGCGGUGAAAUGCGUAGAUAUCGGAAGGAACACCAGUGGCGAAGGCGACUUCCUGGGCCAAUACUGACGCUGAGGUGCGAAAGCGUGGGGAGCAAACAGGAUUAGAAACCCCAGUAGUCC
RNAcentral lists this ribosomal RNA (274 nucleotides) under uncultured bacterium. RNAcentral describes it as "partial 16S ribosomal RNA". It matches the Rfam family "Bacterial small subunit ribosomal RNA", at positions 523 to 796 of the family's 1533-position model. The record is from RNAcentral.